This 253-nucleotide ribosomal RNA is filed under the name uncultured bacterium. RNAcentral's name for it is "partial 16S ribosomal RNA". It matches the Rfam family "Bacterial small subunit ribosomal RNA", at positions 524 to 776 of the family's 1533-position model. The record is from RNAcentral.
UACGUAGGGGGCAAGCGUUGUCCGGAUUUAUUGGGCGUAAAGAGCGUGUAGGCGGUCUGGUAGGUCCGUUGUGAAAACUCGAGGCUCAACCUCGAGACGCCGAUGGAAACCAUCAGACUAGAGUCCGGAAGAGGAGAGUGGAAUUCCCGGUGUAGCGGUGAAAUGCGCAGAUAUCGGGAAGAACACCCGUGGCUAAGGCGGCUCUCUAGUACGGUACUGACGCUGAGACGCGAAAGCGUGGGGAGCGAACAGG